Molecule: RNase P RNA, 324 nt
Filed under: Minisyncoccota bacterium
Lineage: Bacteria; Bacillati; Minisyncoccota
Description: RNase P RNA component class A
Rfam family: Bacterial RNase P class A
About the family: Ribonuclease P (RNase P) is a ubiquitous endoribonuclease, found in archaea, bacteria and eukarya as well as chloroplasts and mitochondria. Its best characterised activity is the generation of mature 5'-ends of tRNAs by cleaving the 5'-leader elements of precursor-tRNAs.
Source: RNAcentral
AGCUGGUAGCGGAUAGUUGCUUCCGCCUUAGGCGGAGGAGGAAAGUCCGAACACUUACUUCUCCUUCGGGAGAUUUAAAAGGGUAGUGGGUAACACCCACCGGGAGCAAUCCUAGAGGUGCGAACAGUGACGAAUCUUCGUUUUGUUUAGGGCUUGCCCUGAGCGAAGUCGAAGGGUGAAACGGCUAAAUCCUUAUCUAAGUGCAAGGCCGUGUCCCGCCCCCACACGUGAGUGGCGGGAAGUGCCGCUCGAGCCCGAGCGUAAGCGAGGGCCCAGAUAAAUAACUAUCGAUAACAGAAUUCGGCUUAUAGCUACCAGCACCAA